UCAGACGGGCCGGAGACGCUUCUGGAAGCACCAGCGCUAUGGCUGCCCAGGGAGAGCCCCAAGUCCAGUUCAAACUGGUGCUGGUUGGCGACGGUGGCACCGGGAAGACGACGUUCGUGAAGCGUCACCUGACGGGUGAAUUCGAGAAGAAGUAUGUAGCCACCUUGGGCGUGGAGGUCCACCCGCUCGUGUUCCACACGAACAGGGGACCCAUCAAGUUCAACGUGUGGGACACUGCCGGCCAGGAGAAGUUCGGCGGGCUGCGGGACGGCUACUACAUCCAGGCCCAGUGUGCCAUUAUAAUGUUUGAUGUCACAUCAAGGGUUACUUACAAGAAUGUGCCUAACUGGCAUAGAGAUCUGGUACGAGUGUGUGAGAACAUCCCUAUUGUGCUGUGUGGCAACAAAGUGGACAUUAAGGACAGGAAAGUUAAGGCAAAAUCUCUUGUCUUCCACCGAAAGAAGAAUCUUCAGUACUAUGACAUUUCUGCCAAAAGUAACUACAACUUUGAAAAGCCCUCCCUGUGGCUUGCUAGAAAACUAAUUGGGAGACCCUAACUUGGAGUUUGUCGCCAUGCCCGCUCUUGCCCCACCAGAGGUUGUCAUGGACCCAGCUUUGGCAGCACAGAACGAGCAUGAUCUAGAGGUUGCUCAGACAACUGCUCUCCCGGAUGAAGAUGAUGACCUGUGAGAACGUGCAGCUGGAGCCCAGCGUCAGAAGUCUAGUUUUAUAGGCAACUGUCCUGUGAUGUCAGUGGUGCAGCGUGUUUGCCACUUUAUUAUAUAGCUGAGCAGAACAUGUGCUUAAUCUUUGGGAUGCUGAAGGAGAUGAAUGGGCUUCGGAGUGAAUGUGGCAGUUUAAAAAGUACUUUCAUUUUUUGGACCUGCAUAUUUAGCUGUUUUGGAACGCAGUUGUUUCCUUCCUGAGUUUCAGAUACGAGACUGCUAUAGUCCCAUCACAAUAUCAAGUGGUGAAAUCUCGUUUGUCACUGUCAUUCCCAUUCCUUUUCGUUUAGAAUCAGAAUAAAGUUGUAUUUCAAAUA
Odobenus rosmarus divergens (Pacific walrus) is the source of this 1042-nucleotide RNA transcript. It is a transcript of the gene named GTP-binding nuclear protein Ran-like, with no coding region annotated. Lineage: Eukaryota; Metazoa; Chordata; Mammalia; Carnivora; Odobenidae. The transcript has a single exon. The record is from RefSeq and is a predicted model, not a curated record.